Molecule: long non-coding RNA, 1036 nt
Filed under: Homo sapiens (human)
Lineage: Eukaryota; Metazoa; Chordata; Mammalia; Primates; Hominidae
Description: non-protein coding lnc-ERLEC1-8:1
Source: RNAcentral
ACACCUGGAUAAUUUUGUAUUUUUAGUAGAGACAGGGUUUCUCCAUGUUGGUCAGGUUGGUGUCGAACUCCCGACCUCAGGUGAUCCACCUGCCUCAGUCUCCCAAAGUGUUGGGGUUACAGGUGUGAGCCACUGUGCCUGGCCGUAUUUCAUCUCAUAUAUUGAUUUUACCUCAUUCACCCUGCUCCAGGCACUCCGACCUUCUCUCAAUUUUUUUUAAGUUUUUUAUAUUUAUUUAUUUUUAUUUAGCGAUGAGGGCUAAGUAUGUUGUACAAGAUGGAGUGUAGUGGCUAUUCACAAGUGCGCUCAUAGGGUACUGCAGACUCGAGCUCUUGGCCUAAAGCAAUCCUCCUGCCAAGCCUCCCAAGUAGCUAAGACUACAGGCACAUGACACCACACCCAGCUUCUUUCAAUUUCUUGAUCAAGCCAAGCUUUUUCACAAUGUAAGAGCUCUUGCCCCUCUUUCCCUCCUUCCUUCCUCCCUCCUUCCCUCCCUCUUUCCUUCCUUUUUUCCCCUUCCUUCCUUCCUUCCUUCCUCCUUCCCUCCCUCCCUCUCUCCCUUUCUUCCUUCUUUCUUCCUUCCUUUCUUUCUUUCCUUCCUUCCUACUUUUUUUCUUCCUUCCUUCUUUCUCCUUCCUUCCUUCCUUUCUUCUUUCUCCUUCCUUCCUUCCUUCUUUUCACCAGUGUCAUAGUAAGCACUUACUUUUAAUUUUAACCUAGUGAGUGAACCAAGCACUUAAAUUUACUCUAAGUGCAAUGGAAACCUAUAGACAAGUUUUUAAUCAGGAAAAUGAUAUAAAUUGAUUUAAACUUUCAAAAGAUCUCUCCUGACUCUGAAUGGACUAUAGAUUAUAAGGGGAUAAGAAUGAAAGUACUGUGACUAAUUAGGAGGCGUUUUCAGCAAUUCAAUGAGAGAUGACAAUGGCUUGUAUCACGGUAGAAGUAGUGCCAACGGUGAGAAGUACUCAGAGAUGAGAAAUAUUUUGGAGGUCGGGUGCGGUGGCUCACGCCUGUAAUCCCAGCACUUUGGGAGGCU